UAGAUCGAGCUCGCUAAAGUAACUAAUAACGAAACAAGGACAGCCUAACACCCAGGAAAGAAAAAUGAAUGUGUUAACAGAAAGCAAAACCGUGGGUGGAGAUUGAAGAGAAAAUGCUAAGAGGCGAGAGAAUUUACUCUCUCCAUGGUUUAAAGCUGAAUCUAGUUUGCCACCGUAAACCUACACCCACUUCACACACCCGCUAUACACCACUCCCCCAAAGCUAAAACCACCGUCCUGCAUUAAGUUCCACCUACAGGAACUUAGGGCUGGGUGGAGUUGUCUUUGAAAAUUAGGCAAUAAGUAGAAAUAGCCAAACUGAGGUCAACUCUACAGCUGGAGGUUGGCCUAGCCUCCCCCACCCCCUUUGUCAUACUCUUUAGCUGCUUGUCCUAAAAUGAGGUUUGCUUUAGGGGUUGACUUUGGAAACUUUGUCUUAGGGGUAGGGGAUAAGGAGAUUAGUGGAAUAUUAAAACCUGCUUUCACAAACAAAACAGAGCUUGUGUUGGCUCACAGACACCUCACCCAUAUCAUAACCCCAAGCUCCUGUUUUCUUUUUUCGCCUUCAUCAUAGCAAAGCUUUCCCAUUGCAGCUCUCAAACUCUGUUCAGUUUUUCACUAUUCCACAAAAAUCAUUACUUCAGAAGUGAGGGAUACUUUUAAAAUAUGCUAAUUAUAGAAUCCAUAAUAGCUAUUCCAAGCCCAGCCUGACUCAAAGUAACGUAGACUAGAAUUCAGUUUUCAGUAUUUAUUUCUCUUCAAAGUCAAGCAGACGCCCCUCCUCCCACUGCCAAAAGUUAGUCUAUAAACUGCUUUCCAUUCUGAAUUUGCAGUUAUGUGAGGUAUUUGCAUUUCUACGUUGGCUGUCACCCUAGUAUGCAGGUGCUGUAGGGUUGCCAGCUCUCCUGGUUUCGCUGGGAGUCUCCCAGAAUUGGGCUCUAUCUCCCAGAGGCUGCUGAAGCCAAACUGGGAGAUUUUAGACUGCUAAAAGUCUGGCUGCACAACGGGGCUAAGGAGGCUCCCUGCCACUUCUGGAAGCAACUGGCAUAUCCCUGUGGCCCCU
This 1063-nucleotide long non-coding RNA is filed under the name Chrysemys picta bellii (western painted turtle). RNAcentral's name for it is "lncRNA (ENSCPBG00000010592.1)". Lineage: Eukaryota; Metazoa; Chordata; Testudines; Emydidae. The record is from RNAcentral.